RNAcentral lists this small RNA (205 nucleotides) under Pan troglodytes (chimpanzee). Lineage: Eukaryota; Metazoa; Chordata; Mammalia; Primates; Hominidae. The record is from RNAcentral.
GCCUGGCGUGAUGGCGGGCGCCUGUAGUCCCAGCUACUCGGGAGGCUGAGGCAGGAGAAUGGCGUGAACCCGGGAGGCGGAGCUUGCAGUGAGCCGAGAUCGCGCCACUGCACUCCAGCCUGGGCGACAGUGUGACACUGUGUCUCAGGGAAAAAGAAAAAAAAAAAAGAACUAUAAGGUAAUAAAGUUUUUUUUUUUUUUUUUU